This 89-nucleotide unclassified non-coding RNA is filed under the name Pseudomonas sp. bs2935. The record is from RNAcentral. Lineage: Bacteria; Pseudomonadati; Pseudomonadota; Gammaproteobacteria; Pseudomonadales; Pseudomonadaceae.
UGUGGGAGCUGGCUUGCCUGCGAUAGCGGAGUGUCAGUUGACGCAUUCGUAGCUGGCCCACUGCAAUCGCAGGCAAGCCAGCUCCCACA